AUGGAUACCCUCUUCAAAGCCGCCCUGCUGAGUGUUCUUGACGAUUCCAUUAUGGAUUCAUAUAUGUCGUUUGACAGCGGCAAAGACAUGUGGGCUGCGCUUGAGGCCAUGUUUGAGCCCUCGGGCGCUGGUAACGAGUUGUACGUCAUGGAGCAAUUCUGUGACUACAAGAUGACUGAUGAGCGCUCUGUUGUUCAACAGACUCAUGAGAUACAAUCACUCUCUAAGGAACUUGAGUACUUUAGGUGUGUGUUGCUGGACAAAUUUGUUGCUGGGACCAUCAUUGCCAAGCUUCCACCUUCGUGGAACGAUUUUUCUACUUCCCUGAAAAACAAGAGACAUGAGUUUUCUGUUUUGGAUCUCAUUAGCACUCUUGAUUUUGAGGAAAAGGCGCGAGCAAAAGACACACGUGCUCAGGUCACUGGGGGAGCUUCUAGUGCGCACAUGGUACACGAGAAGAACUUCCAGCCCAACCAGCCCCAAAACAACAAGAGCAAAUCUCAGGAGAAAGGCAAGUUUGAUGCAAAGAACAAGCCGUCACAUUCUACCAACUUCAAGAAGAAUUCUCAUAACGGGAAGGGAUACAAGCUCGCACGAACGGAAACCACAACAAGCAAGCAAUCAAAUCUGGCAUGA
RNAcentral lists this ribosomal RNA (636 nucleotides) under Triticum aestivum (bread wheat). Its description in RNAcentral is "partial small subunit ribosomal RNA". Lineage: Eukaryota; Viridiplantae; Streptophyta; Magnoliopsida; Poales; Poaceae. The record is from RNAcentral.